Molecule: ribosomal RNA, 418 nt
Filed under: uncultured bacterium
Lineage: Bacteria
Description: bacterial SSU rRNA
Rfam family: Bacterial small subunit ribosomal RNA
Source: RNAcentral
AAGAACCUUACCAGGGCUUGACAUGGAGACGAGAGGUAAGAAACUAUCUCAACCUAUACUUAGGUAUAGGGAUCUCACACAGGUGGUGCACGGCCGUCGUCAGCUCGUGCCGUGAGGUGUUGGGUUAAGUCCCACAACGAGCGCAACCCCUAUAGUUAGUUGCCAGCAAGAGAGAUGGGCUACACUAGCUAGACAGCCGUCGACGAGACGGAGGAAGGAGGGGAUGACGUCAGGUAAGCGUGCCCCUAAUGCUCUGGGCGACACACGUGCUACAAUGGUGAGGGCAAAAGGCAGCGAAGUCGCGAGGCAGAGCGAAUCCAAGAAACCUCAUCGUAAUUCGGAUUGCAGGCUGAAACCCGCCUGCAUGAAACCGGAAUCGCUAGUAAUCGCAGGUCAGCCAAACUGCGGUGAAUACGUU